UUAUUUUGUCUUUUGUCUUUUUAGGGCUGCACCCGUGUCAUAUGGAGGUUCCCAGGGAAGGGGUCAAAUCAGAGCUACAGCUGCAGGCCUAAGCCACAGCCACAGCAAUGCCAGAUCCGAGCCGUGUUUGUGACCUACACCACAGCUCAUAGCAACGCUGGGUCCUUAACCCACUGAGCGAGGACUCAACCUCAUGGUUCCUAGUCAGAUUUAUUUCCACUGUGCCAAGAUGGGAACUCCCAAGGAUUUUAUUAUUUAAUUAAAUAAUCACGGUAAUCAUGUAGAUUGAUAUUACUAUCUCAAUUUUAUAAGAAAGGAAGCUCAGGCUUAGAGAAGUUGAAUAACUUGCCCAACAUAUAGUAAUUAAUUUGUUUAUGGUUCAGGUUUAAAACCAAAUUUGUGUGACUAUAGAGCCCAGAUUCCUGUCCACUAUACUGAAAACAAUGUGUAUUAGUUCCUGAUGUGAGGAAUUCAUUCUGGGUCAAGGGAGGGAUUCCAACAAUAAUGCAUGUUGUGUUACUUUACAGUUGCAAAGCUUUCCCACAUUUAUCUUCUGUUUUUUUAAAAAAUUAUUAUAGUACAGUUGAUUUAUAGUGCUGUGCCAAUUUCUGCUGUACAGCAAAAGUGGAGAUAUAUAUAUAUAUAUCUUCUAACUCGAUUAUCAUAAUAAUUGUGCAAGAUGGACAGGACCAUUAUUAUUAUCACCUGUAUAUCAGAGAUAUUGUUAUUGAGACUCAGAUAGCCUGGACGAUCUGCUUAUGUUCACACAGAGAUUUAACAAUACGUAUGGGGACUGAAGGACUUUUACUUCAAAGCAUGCUCAUUUCCAUGAACUGCUUUGCCUUUUGUUAAUAUACUAACUGAAAGAUGUAGGGCCAUCAGUGGUGGUUUGGAGCUGUGUCCUGUGUUGCAGGUCAACAGGAGAUCCUGAAAGAGGAAAGGCAUGGCCUAAUAAAACACACAAGACUCUUUUACAUUUUAAAAGUGGAGGACCAGGAGGCACUCUGUUCCACUGAACAAAGGCCCCUAGGCUUUAGCCCACAAGACUUUUGUUAGGGAAAGUGACAUGUUUAGAUUAGUGAGCAAAAGUAGGCAAAGGGAAUGUUGAAGCUAUCUCUUAGUGAGAUUUAGGGAGACUACUAACAAUAACAGUCACAGGUGUAUACAUCUAGGAUAUAGUGCAGCUGCCUAAAGAACAACAUAGUUAACAUAUAAGCCCCUUCCUUUAUUUUGACAGGAGGCCCUGCACUUUAGAACUCUGCAUCAGUAGACAUGCUUAUCUGGCUUUUGCCAUCACAGGUAUUCCUUGGCUUAUCAUGCUUUUGCACUUACCAAGUUUGCUUUCUGCAGAGUUCAGCAGUUCAGUGGUCUUCAACAGUUUGGUGGUGACAGAGGCCCCUAGACUACAUUCAGGGACACAUGGAAAGGCCAUGAUAUGGGUAUGGGGAUCUACAGAAGAGCCCAAAAGACCCCACAUUCUCAGGCACUCCAAAGACUCUCCAUGAAUGGGUAGGGUCUUUUCAAUCAUGGAGAUGGACUCCGUGACAAAGAGGCAGAUUCAAGGCUCUGUGAAUGCAGCAGCUGAAAAGUCAAGGCUAGGGCUUUUAAGGUUCACUAUCCCCUUUUAUACUUGCCCACUGAAGAUUUUUCAUCUCAGGAUCUUUGCCAGGGUGUGACAUUAAUGAGAAGUAAAAAUGAAUUCUCUUUCCCAGAGAGGUUGGUGCUACAUGGAAAAUUUAGGUGGUAUACCAUCUAGCAUGCAAAGAGCAAUUCCACUGACAAGAGUUGUAAGGAUAUUUAAUUUUAAAAAUUAUUCCAUUGUCUAUGCUUUUCCAUAGAGCACUUUUUUUUUAAAUUGAAGCCAAUAAACUUUGUCAGCAAUAAUUUAGCAUUGAAAUAGUAUUAAUCUUUAACUUCAUGAGAAUUCUAAAUUUUGAUUCCAUGAGGUUUCAUUUCUAAAAUAUGCAUGAGGACCAAAAUUUCUUAAUUGAAAUAUUAAAAAGAAAAUAUAUAUCCUUCCUCAUUUCUUGGAACUGAAACUUGUUCAUGGUAAUGGCAAUUCUUUUGGAAGCAAAGUCAGUGCCCUGAACUGGACAGAAUCAAUUUCCUUAGUAUAUUUAGGAUUUUUCAAUUAUUUGAGUGUCAUUCCAAAUGUCACUGGUUGUUUACUUACAGGACCAUAGGUGAGAAGUGAAAUGUAGAAUAAUGUUGAACUAAAUGUAAUAAGACAAUUUGGCAUAAUUAGAAAAUAUGUUUCCUUGCUUAUCUAAGUUCAUUGCAUGCAGUAUUUUACUUCUUGUUUCUUCUAUUGACGGUCUACCUGGAUGAAAGCAUGAAUAACUAAAGAGCAGGUGGUUCUAGCAAAGGGAGGUGUACAUUUUGAGAAUGGAUCAUGACCAAGGGUCCUUCUUUGAACUUGAUAAAGAAAAGAGGAUUAGGUUCAGUUACAACACAAGGCUUUCAAAGAAGUCGUAGAGUUGGAGAUGGGAAAGUGGGGUCAGAAAUCUGAAAGGGGCCAGCAGGGUACCAAUUCCAGGAGGUUCAAAGGACACCAGUGUUUGCAUUUCCAGAAAGUUUCUUUAGGUUGAAGUAAUUCCUAGAAACAACUUAUCGUGGAUUGUCCAAAUUUGUCCCAAGUGCUAUCAUUUGGAUAACAAAGUGUGUGGUUUAUGUAAACUGAAAGCUUAAAUCCUAGGCAUUGAGUAAAAAAGGAGCAUUGAUGUUGGAGAUUAAGCAAGAAAAGUGUGAAGUACCGCAUUCAAUGGAAACUCUUUGUUUUGGCAAAGAGCAUGGGUUGGUUAACCUUGAAUUGAGGGAGAUCAGCUUAAUCUGUUGGUUUUAAUCUGAGCUGAGAGCAUGGUGUUCAGUGGAGUGGGGGGUACUCUUGGGAAUAAUAGUCCCUAAUAAAUGCAGUUAGGGCCGUUGUGCAAUAGAAUUUUUCAAUCCAUUCAAACUCAUGUUGAUAAGUUUUGAGUAUAUGCUUAUCACACCCCCAGCUGCCCUGCACUUAGUGGGCUCAAGGGGCAUGGGAUUCUUUGCACUGUAAAGGUAUCACAAUGAGACCACACAACCCUGUUAGCCUGAAGUGUCUCCAUCAGGAUGUUUUCUUGGAAUCAAUUAUCCCAGCUUUGGGCUGUGCCUAAUUAUCAUAGAAUCUGCACCAGUCAUCAUCCAUUUGUUGUCCUGUUUUCACUACUGGAUUGUGUAGUCUCUGGCAGGACUGUACUUUAAAUUUUACUUCCGUGAACAAUUAUGUUUCCACAGUGACUGGCAUAAAUGGUAACUCUGACACCACGUGUUCAGUGAAUUAGUGAGUAAAACCUAGAAGCCCCAGUGAGAUCUUAAGGGAUUGAAGAAAGAGGAGAAGUUGUACCAAGUCAAACUUUUUAAACAACUUAUUGAAAAAUAGUUGAUUUACAGUGUUGUGUUAGUUUUGGGUGUACAGCAAAGUGGUUCGGAGAUAUAUGUAUAUUCUUUUCCAUAAUAGGUUAUUACAAGAUAUUAAGUAUAGUUGCCUGUGGAAUACAGUAGGUCCUUGUUGUUUAUUUUAUAUGUAGUAGUGUGUAUAUUUUAACCCUAAAUUUAUAAUUUAUCUGGUAAUUUUGUUUUCUAUGUGGCAUAAAAGCCAACUUUGAAAGGCUGAGCAAAGCUGCAUGUGUCCUGGCUGAGCAUCUACCUUUCCCUCAUUUCCAUGUAUUUUCACUCAUUGCCCUUACGAGCCCCACCUUCACAGCCAUCCACCCAUCUUGCCUUCCUGGCCGUUGUCUCCAGAUAGGAUGGAAGACAGAGAAUGGGCUGUUCCUUUCACAGUCAGUGUCUGAUUGAGCAUCUGUGAGGUGUCUAUCUCCUCUUUUACUUUAGACACACAAUCACUUGGAUGCAUUAGAAAUGAGUUUGCUUAGCGAAGCUCGCAUUAAUUAACAGCCCUGUGUCCCACAGCGCCGUCUCACUGCUUAGUCUUUUCCCACCUCUCCAUCCUCAUGAACUCUACCAAUUCUUCACCACGUUUCUCACCAAAAUGCAGUCUUGUGGUCAGAGUCCUAAAUGAUCAGGUUCCUCUGCACUGUGCUCCUCUCAGCUGUAGGUGGUGCCUUUUUUCACUCAGCUAAGAACUUGCUUGGGGUUCCUCUUUUAUUAGCACUUCCUUACACGUAAGCUGAGGUCCACGUGAAGCCCCCAUGUUGAUUUUUCCAGGUGGAGACUCUGUGAUUUCUUGGCUCCGGGAUGGAAAGUGUAGAAACGCUGAGAUGAGUGAACAGCUGUACAAUUUCAAAGCAUUAUUUAGUAAUGACUGCCUUUUAAGAGUAAGAACAAAAGCUGAGUAUACUGCUUGUACUGCAUACUAAUCAACAUUUAUUCAUAAAGUUCAAGUUCAAACCUCACUGUCUCUAAAUAUUUUCAUUAUUUAUUACAAUUAGCAUAUGCAUGAUUCACAUUACCUGUCUGACUUAUUCAAGCAAGCUGGUCCUUUGGCAUUGUACUUGAGGGGAUUUUGGACAGAUCUUUACCACAGACAUGUGAUAACAAUCCCACCUAAGCCAAGUGGUGCCGGGCAGCAAGACACUGCCCUCUUGCUUGAAUGAAUGUUCAUAGGAUGUGGAAAUGGUGCCAUGCUAGAAUGUAUUAAUUAAUAUCUUAGAGGCAGAAAGUAAGGAAAAUGAGUCUUCGUGUUAUACUUUGAAAAAUGAGUCAUGGUAGUUAAUUAACCUAUCUAAUUCCCCAAGGUAAAUGAGUGCCUGAAUCAAUUCAUAAUUAACAAUUUAAAUAAUCCUGCUUUUAAAGUAGCCUUAUUAUACCUAUAAUGAAAGUUAGAAACCCGAAAAUCUGAUGUAUGUUCUCUCAUUGCAUUACGUGUAUCUGCUUCAUGUAAUAAAGGAAAACUCACUUGAGGCUGCGUAUCAUCUCCGUUUAUCCUUUACAUCCUAUUUGGUAUCUUGUAGGCUGCUUUAUACCUCAGAAGGCUCUUAAUAAAGUCUCAAAAAAUGAACUAUAUUUCCCUUCUUUGAACUCACAGUUUGUU
Molecule: long non-coding RNA, 5020 nt
Filed under: Sus scrofa (pig)
Lineage: Eukaryota; Metazoa; Chordata; Mammalia; Artiodactyla; Suidae
Description: lncRNA (ENSSSCG00000051963.1)
Source: RNAcentral